ACUCAAAUGAAUUGACGGGGACCCGCACAACCUGUGGAGCGUGUGGUUUAAUUCGAGACAAAGCGAAAAACCUUACCAGGACUUGACAUGCUAGCGUUCUAUUUUUCAGAAAUGAGAGAAAUCCGCAAGGAGGCUAGCACAGGUGCUGCAUGGCUGUCGUCAGCUCGUGCCGUGAGGUGUUCCCUUAAGUGGGGAAACGAGCGCAACCCUCGUCUAAUGUUACAUAUUCAUUAGAGACAGCUUCGAUUAUAUCGAGGAGGAAGGGGAGGAAGACGUCAAGUCAGCACGGCCCUUAUGUCCUGGGUUACACACACACUACAAUGGCGAAGAACAAUGGGAAGCAAGCUAGCAAUAGUAAGCAGAUCCCUUAAAUUUCGCCUCAGUUCAGAUUGGGGGCUGCAACCCGCCCCCAUGAAGUUGGAAUAGGUAGUAAUCGCGGAUCAGCAUGCCGCGGUGAAUACGUUCUCGGGUCUUGUACACACCGCCCGU
This 489-nucleotide ribosomal RNA is filed under the name uncultured bacterium. Its description in RNAcentral is "partial 16S ribosomal RNA". It matches the Rfam family "Bacterial small subunit ribosomal RNA", at positions 899 to 1397 of the family's 1533-position model. The record is from RNAcentral.